AUGAUCCUCAAAUUGAAACCCAGAUCUCAGAUCUAUCAGCAGGAAGAACAAAAUGAAGAAAGAAACCUGGUGAUAAAAGUGCUUUUGGCUAGUCAAAGGUACCUAAAAUUGCACAUUAUUCUCAGCAGCAAGAAUACAAAGAUUUGGCAGAUAGAAGUCAUGAGAACAAGGUACCUAAAAUUGCACAUUAUACUCAGCAGCAAGAAUACAAAGAUUUGGCAGAUACAAGUCAUGAGAACAAGGUACCUAAAAUUGCACAUCAUUCUCAGCAGCAAGAAUACACAGAGUUUGCAGAUAGAAGUCAUGACAACAAGGUGCUCAAAAAUUUGUAUCAACGCAACAAACAUAUGCAGCCACUUAUAG
This 363-nucleotide ribosomal RNA is filed under the name Triticum aestivum (bread wheat). RNAcentral describes it as "partial small subunit ribosomal RNA". Lineage: Eukaryota; Viridiplantae; Streptophyta; Magnoliopsida; Poales; Poaceae. The record is from RNAcentral.